Molecule: RNA transcript, 2453 nt
Organism: Cydia splendana
Lineage: Eukaryota; Metazoa; Arthropoda; Insecta; Lepidoptera; Tortricidae
Gene name: acidic juvenile hormone-suppressible protein 1-like
Exons: 9
Source: RefSeq, a predicted model, not a curated record
UCAGUACUGGCAAACAUGGCUCGUCUCGUGUUGUGUGCUUUAGCGCUCCUAGUGGCCGGCGGGUCUUGCGACUCCCUCAAGAAGAUCUGGCCCCAAAAACCUGCUGACCAGGCUUCCCUCAAGCGUCAGAUUGACCUGUCAACUCUCUUCUACCAUAUCCAUGAGCCCCUUCACUACGAGCCACUUAAGACCAUUGCCAGUACUUGGGAAAUCGAGAAGAACAUUCAGCACUACAGCAAUGUAACUGCUGUCAAGAUUUACGUGGAUCUCAUGGAGUAUGGUCUACUGCCACGUGCGGUGCCUUUCUCUAUUCUUGAAGAAUAUCAUCAGUUCGAGGCUGAGACUCUCUUCCAAGUUCUGUUCUCCGCCAAGGACUACGAUACGUUCUACAAGACUGCCGUGUACCUCAGAGACCGUGUUAAUGAAAACCUGUACGUUUACGUGCUCACCACCGCCAUUGUUCACCGCCACGACACUCAAGGAUUCGUCGUCCCACCCCUCUACGCAAUCUUCCCCUCUUACUUCCUCAAUGGAGAAGUUAUGACCACUGCCCAGAGGAUCAACACUCACGGCAUGCACCUAGUCGAGCACUACCCGAUGACUUAUAUCUGGAACGACAAUGUAGUGAUUAGGUGGAACGAGACCGUCUGGCCUUACUUCUCUGUCGAUUCCCCUGUCUUCUACUGGACUCACGAUUUAGCUCUCAACACAUGGUACUACAACACCCAAGUGGCUUACCCGAAAUGGCUCGCAAGCGAAACCUGCCCCUUGGUGAAGGACUACCGCGGUGAAUGGUUCUGGUACUCGCACAAGCAGCUCCUGGCUCGUUACUACAUGGAGAGGCUGUCGAACGGUCUUGGUGAGAUCCCAGAUCUUGAACUGCACGGCAUUGUUGAGGAAGGUUACACCCCUGGUCUCCUGUACCACAACGGAAUCCCAUUCCCGGUUAGGCCUAACCACUUCCACCUUCAUCAACAAGACUUCAUCAAUGAAAUUAAGGCUAUUGAUGUCUACGAGCGUCGUAUUCGUGACGCGAUCGACGUUGGAUACUACAUUAACAACUUGGGCGAGCUCGUUAGCCUGCGCACUCCUGAAUCCAUCGAUGUUCUCGGACGCCUGAUUGAAGCCGACGCUGACUCUCCCAACACCGGUUACUACAAGGACUUCAUCACCCUCUGGAAAGAACUCCUCGGAAACUCUAUUGUUCACGAGCACGCUUACCACCAGACUACCGUGCCCCUGGUCCUGCCUUCCGCUCUAGAGCUCUACCAGACCGCUCUUCGCGACCCCGCUCUCUACAUGAUCUGGAAGCGUGUGUUGAACCUCUUCAACCUGUGGCACCAGCAGCUGCCUCUCUACAAGCCUGAAGAACUUGCUUUACCCACUGUUACUAUCCAGAAGGUUGAGACUGAUAAGUUGGUCACCUACUUCGAGAACACCUACGUGAACGUUACCAACCACCUGCACAUGAACGAUUUUGAAAGGAAGGUGGUCGUUGAUGACGUCAGUGUCCUCGUCCAGGUCCCUCGUCUGAACCACAAGGUCUUCCAGAUCCGCGUGAACGUCAAGAGUGAAGUCGCGAAGACCGUUCUCGUCAAAUUCUUCUUGGCUCCCAAAUACGACAGCCACGGCUACGAAAUCCCUCUUCACCUGAACACCGAAAACUUCUUCCAAAUGGACCAGUUCACUUACGACUUGCCCGUUGGUGAGCACGUUAUCAAGCGCGAUUCCAUCCAGAAUAUAUGGACCAUUGACGACUGGACCAGCGCUCAUGAGGUCUACGAGAAGGCUGAGAACGCCCUGCACGGCAAGGGUCAAUUCGUCUUGAGUCAGGCUCAGAAGAUUGAAGGAUUCCCUGAGCGUCUGCUGCUUCCUAAGGGUCGCGUCGGAGGUAUGCCCUUCGUCCUGCUGACUUACAUCUCUGAGUACCGCGCGCCCAAGGUCCAACAGGGUACUGGUUUCGACCACGUGGUAUCUCCUGGCUACGGCAGCGGAGCUCGCCGCAUGAGCGAUGAGCCGUUCGGCUUCCCCGUCGACCGUCCUCUGCACCUUUGGCAGAUCGAGAAUCUGCACAACAUCAUGUUGGAGGAUGUCUUGAUCCACCAUAAGCCCACCCCCGAGGUUUACGUGCCUCACACCGACACUGCUAACUAAACGUUACCUAUAUUACUAUGGAUUAAACCUUUGAUACUCAACGUUACAUUGGAUUUAUUGACUGUGACUGUUACAGUUUAGUCUUUAGUGAUUUUAGUCAAACUGUAUUGUUGAGUAGCGAAUCGAAUGUCACUAAUCUGAUGUAAAUAGUUUGUGCGCGUGUUGUGUUAUAUAUGUAUGUAUAAUAUUUAUUUGUUACUUAUUUUGUGUUUAUUUAUGUAGAAACCGUUGAUUGUAUAUGUAAUAGUAUGAAUAUAGAUGAAUUAUACGAGUCAAUAUAUAUUUAUGUUAUAUUUAUU